UAUAUGGAUAGAGGAAUAGAGAGAGAGUUAGACAGAAACAUAAAUAGACAGACAGGUAUGUGUAUAUGUGUUUGCGCGCGCGCGUGUGUGUGUGUGUGUGUGUGUGGUUUUAGAUAGACUGAGUGAUAAAGAAAGACAGAGAGACAGGUGGACAGAUAGACAGGAAACAGAUAGAUAGAUAGAUAGAUAAAUUGAUAUAUAGAUAGAUAGAUAGAUAGAUAGAUAGAUAGCAAAGCAUAAAAGUCCUGGGACAUAUAGAGAAAUUACAACACAUAAAUUCUCACCCAUAUACAUUCAUACUAUUUUAUUUACACAUGCUCUCUCACACACACACACGCACACACUCACACAAUUGCAAACAUACACAUACAUACACACAAACGCGCACACAUACACAUACACACACACCCAUACCCACACGCACACAAACACACAGACACACACACGCUCGUACGCGCACACAUGCACGUACAAUAUCACUUAGCUACAUUCUGUUUACUGACAAAUCAAGAUAAUUCAUAAACACAGCAAAAAUGAAUUACGACAGAACGCAUUGAGCUAAUUUCUUUAUUGGGCAAAAUCAGCAUUUGGCCUAUUAAUUGGUAACGUGUACGAACAUGUUCUGAUAUCUGUGUCAACGCUCUCAUAACGUGAUGACGCACAAUAUCUGUGUGUGUAUGUGUGUGUGAGUGCGCACGCGGGCGUAUGUGUAUAUCCGGCUUUGUAUGUGUGUAUAGGUAUUUACUUACAUAUAUAUUUACAGUUCCGGACAGCAUAUCCGGCUUCCAAAAAUCCGGAAUUACCAAAAACCCGGCUAUUUUGUACAGAUGAUCCACUGACAACUACAUGCUUAUUGUGUAAAUUUUGUUAAAGUUUUCAUCUAUAACCAUUUUCAAAAGAAUAGUAGAUACACUUAUAUAUAUUUAUAUUACAGUUCCGGACAUCAAUGCUGGCUUCUAGAAAUCCGGAAUUUUUUUAAAACCGGUUUUUUUUUUUACAGAUGAUCCUCUCAGCUAUAUGGUUAUUGGUGAGAAUAUUAUCAUAGUUUUCAUCUAUAACCAUGUUUAACAGACCAGCAAACACACACACACACACACACACACACACACACACACACACACACACACACACACACACACACACACACACACACACACACACACACACACACACAUUACGGUACCGGACAUUUAUUCGCUUUCCAGAAAAUCCGGAAUUACCAAAAGUACAGCCGCUUUGUAUAGGUGUUCUUCGCUCAGCUACAUGCUCCCUUGUGUGAAUUUUAUUAUAAUUUUCAUCUAUAACCGUGUUUAAAAGACCAGUAGAAAUAUCAUCAGAUGAAGAUUAGUGGAUUCCGUGAAUAUGCCUGUCACGGUACCAAGCAAUAUCAUGCAAUAUACUGUAACAUGUAUUGAGUGAGAAGACCCUUUUAUCGAAGUUGGUUAGUUUUCAUACGGGUCGAUAAAAUUGCACCAAACCAGGCGGUGAAAUGACUAAUUGUAUGAACAUCCGAGGACGGAUACUUUGCAGCGUUUAACAACGAUACCUUAGGUGGCUGGGAUGUCUGUUACAAGCAUCCAAGUCUGACUUCAGUUUUGAAAAUAUAUUCAUGCCUCACACUAAGGCCAUGUGAAGGAUCGUGGGCACUGCUUUCCCUGUUGACUAAAAGAAUAUUUGAAAAAAUGAACGAAAUGGUACAAAACCUGUUAGGUUUACUGGAGAUAUGGCAUGAAUCAACAUGGGACAUUAUACGAGCUACAAGCAGUACCAAUGCAACCUGAGCUUGGGACCAAGUGCGGCAGAUGAUUGGCGCUGAUGAAAUCUGGGAUAUAUAGCAGCUGAAAGUGAAGGCACGAGACUUAGUGAUUUGGGUAUUCGGCUCACGAACGUAAGUUCUUGAGUUCGAUUCCUGGCCUCGCGUUGUCCUUGAGCAAGAUACUUUAUUUUCACGUUGCCCUCUUUCACUCAGCAGGCAAAAAUGAGUUGUACAUGUAAUUCAAAGGACCAACCUUGUCACACUGAAUCUCCUUGGCAACUACUUUAAGGGUACGCGUGUCUGUGGGGUGCUCAGCUACUUGCACGUUAAUUUUACGAAUAGGCUGUUCUGUUCAUCAAAUCAAUUGGAACACUCGUCGUCGUAACCGACGAAGAGCCGGGCACAUUAGUAAUUGAAAGCAUAUACAGGGUACCUAAACCUUCUACAGUUCUUUUCGUACUAACGCAAGCUUACCCUUUUAUCAAUCCUUUUCUCGGAGUGGAUAUAACAUAUUUAUCCUUUUCCCUCUUUAGCAUUCCCUUCCCUUACAUGUUCAAACACAAAAACUGAUACACAAACUCUAUAUCAACCACCUGUGCCGGAGCCAGGAGUCAAUUGUUCAAUAUCAUAACAAUAGCUUCAAACAUACAAAUAUACACACAUGCAUAAUAUCUAAUUGUUUAUAUGUAUUUAUAUGUAUUCAUAUACACGCACACCCACAUACAUACAUACAUACAUACAUACAUGCAUGCAUACAUAAAUACAUACAUACAUACAUGCAUACAUACAUACACACAUACUUACUCUCACAGAUACAAAUUCAUAAGCGCGCACGCGCGCGCACACACUCACACACACACACACACACACACACACACACACACACACACACACACACACACACACACACACACACACACACACACACACACACACACACACACACACACUCAAAUACGUAUCUUAAACCUUUAAAGCCCUCUCAAUGCAUAGGAGAUUUACACACAAGUUUCAGUAUAAGGGAUUUCAUGUUUGUUGUCUGUAUGAUUAUAUCGCUGAUCAGCAACAGCAAUUAGUAAAAUAAUAACCGUUUCACUCAGUGGUAAUAAUAUGAAAUAUCCCAAAUAUAUAUUUAGGAUACAGUAAUGUUAUAACUAAUCCUUUUGUCCCACUGAUGAGUACCUGUUGAGCACUGGAAUUGAUGAAAUCUACUUCCCCACUCUUCAAAAUUGCUGGCCUUGUUCCAAAAAUGAGAAAGCGUUACCAGAGGCAUGGAACUUAUAGUAGCUUGCGUUUAAAUGUUGUGUAUAUUAAAUGAUAUUUAUUUCCCAUUGGGUGGAGUACUUUUUUGUUAGUCACACCAAUAACGGGACAGUAAGCUCUGCAUGCGUGCGCGUGUGCGUGCAUGCGCGCGCGAGUUUAUUUAUAUCUGUACGUGAGUGAAAAAGCGUGUGAGAGUGUGUUAGUUCAACAUACAUCUACAGAUACAAUGCUUGGAAACCUCGUCAGUGUUACAUCCUGGAGUCACUGAUAGUUUUUAUUCUUACAACAAACACCCUCAUCCAAGCGACCUGACCUAGAUUGAUCAAGCCUAAAUAUGUGCCUGAAAUAACACAGUGCAUGUGGUCAAUGGCUUGAAUUUUGAACCAGAGAUAAAUGUGUCUAUGUGUGUGGCAUACGUGUGCACGCGCACAAACACGCGCGCACACGAAAACAAACGGCACUUUACGGGCCCCACUCAUCACCUCUUUUCCGCCAGAGCCAUCGAGAUGGUUUCUCAUUGGUCUUUACAUGGAUUUUUUUGUCAUUGCUGUAAUGCCCAGGGUUCCACAGACCUUGCACAGGGUAUGAUCUACUAAGCCUCAGUUGCCAGCUACAACUGGCAAAAAAAAUUUAGGUCCUCACUCAUUCUUGCAGUUUUUGUUGGCACUCCGUCGCUUACGACAUCGAGGGUUCCAGUUGAUCCGAUCAACUGAACAGCCUGCUCGUGAAAUUAACGUGCAAGUGGCUGAGCACUCCACAGACACGUGUACCCUUAAUGUAGUUCUCGGGGAUAUUCAGCCUGACACAAUGUGACAAAGCUGACCCUUUGAAUUACAGGUACAACACAAACAGGAAGUAAGAGUGAGAGAAAGUUGUGGUGAAAGAGUAGAGCAGGGUUCGCCAUCAUCCCCUGCCGGAGCCUCGUGGAGCUUUAGGUGUUUUCGUUCAAUAAACACUCACAACGCCCGGUCUGGGAAUCGAAACCGCGAUCCUAUGACCGCGAGUCCGCUGCCCUAACCACUGGGCCAUUGCGCCUCCACCAUUCUUGCAGUAGUCCGCCUCGAACUCCUGGUACUUACGUUUCUUCCUCUCUUACGCCUCUUUGUUUUCUUUGCCAAAGGUUCAUGUCAACCCAAAAACAUUAUGAGUGUAUGCAUGUCGUGAAUUUACAUAUACAUGUAUCUAAUAUAAACUGUGAAAUUUAUUUCUUAUAGUUUGCUUUCGUGGAACUAACCAAACACAUAUAAAUAACGCUGUAAACGCAUCAACAUCUCUCCAUAAGCUUGGGUAGAUAUGUUGGUUAUAGACACAGCAUGCACACGCACUCACACAUAUACACACAUGUGCAUGUCUACGCCUACAAGCGACGCAUGCGCAUUUUACAAGAGUACACACUCGCUGUUAUUUUCAUAAGAGUACUACAAAAGACUGAUACAAGCAUAUUCCUCUCCAACACUCUCUCUCUCUUCCUCAUUCUCUCUUCGUCAUUUAUCUCUCUUUGAAAUAUUCCUUCAUCUCAUGUUUUAUCCUUUGUGUCCAGUCCCUCCCAUUUGCAACUUUUAUAUAGAUGCCUGCUCGUCCCCACAUCAAUUUCUCAUGCAAGCUUACCUUUCAUUUAUUCCCCUUCCUUCCCUAUUUUUUUUUUUAUUAUUAUUUUUUCGUGUCAUUACUUUUUUCUUCAUUGGUUUCUUUAUUAUUUGUUUUCGCCCUUCCCUUUAAGCUUCUUUUCCUUUCAUUUUCUUUCUUUCUUUUUUGUUUACUUUCUCCCUUUUCUAUAAUUUAUUUGUUCAUCUUAAAGCGUCUUUCAGAAAGCAACAGGAGGCUCCUCACAGCUGAACGAUACAGGAAAACUAAAUCCCUCAUUGUCAAUAAAGUUGUAAACACUAAUUUGGUCAAAAGCAUCAUGAAAGAUACAAAGGGCCUGGUUACUGAAGGUCUAAAACUUUGCGUCACCUGUGGACUACAGGUAAAAAAAAUAAAUAAAAAAAACAAAGCAAAAGAAAAGCAAAUAUUAAAAUAUGUUACGAAUAAAGCUGAAGCAUAAAGCCAAUGUGAGGUGUAAAUAUAUGUGUGUGUGUGUCGUUUACUUGUUCCAGUCAUUAGACUUCGGCCAUGCUGGGGCACUGCCU
Octopus bimaculoides (California two-spot octopus) is the source of this 5148-nucleotide long non-coding RNA. NCBI's taxonomy places the organism in Eukaryota, Metazoa, Mollusca, Cephalopoda, Octopoda, Octopodidae. The record is from RefSeq and is a predicted model, not a curated record.